Molecule: ribosomal RNA, 667 nt
Filed under: Enterococcus sp. FBPers-10_02-15
Lineage: Bacteria; Bacillati; Bacillota; Bacilli; Lactobacillales; Enterococcaceae
Description: bacterial SSU rRNA
Rfam family: Bacterial small subunit ribosomal RNA
Source: RNAcentral
CCGGAGCUUGCUCCACCGGAAAAAGARGAGUGGCGAACGGGUGAGUAACACGUGGGUAACCUGCCCAUCAGAAGGGGAUAACACUUGGAAACAGGUGCUAAUACCGUAUAACAAUCAAAACCGCAUGGUUUUGAUUUGAAAGGCGCUUUCGGGUGUCGCUGAUGGAUGGACCCGCGGUGCAUUAGCUAGUUGGUGAGGUAACGGCUCACCAAGGCCACGAUGCAUAGCCGACCUGAGAGGGUGAUCGGCCACAUUGGGACUGAGACACGGCCCAAACUCCUACGGGAGGCAGCAGUAGGGAAUCUUCGGCAAUGGACGAAAGUCUGACCGAGCAACGCCGCGUGAGUGAAGAAGGUUUUCGGAUCGUAAAACUCUGUUGUUAGAGAAGAACAAGGAUGAGAGUAACUGUUCAUCCCUUGACGGUAUCUAACCAGAAAGCCACGGCUAACUACGUGCCAGCAGCCGCGGUAAUACGUAGGUGGCAAGCGUUGUCCGGAUUUAUUGGGCGUAAAGCGAGCGCAGGCGGUUUCUUAAGUCUGAUGUGAAAGCCCCCGGCUCAACCGGGGAGGGUCAUUGGAAACUGGGAGACUUGAGUGCAGAAGAGGAGAGUGGAAUUCCAUGUGUAGCGGUGAAAUGCGUAGAUAUAUGGAGGAACACCAGUGGCGAA